This 400-nucleotide ribosomal RNA is filed under the name uncultured bacterium. RNAcentral describes it as "bacterial SSU rRNA". It matches the Rfam family "Bacterial small subunit ribosomal RNA", at positions 355 to 763 of the family's 1533-position model. The record is from RNAcentral.
UCGAGAAUAUUCGUCAAUGGGGGAAACCCUGAACGAGCGACGCCGCGUGAGUGAAGAAGGACUUCGGUCUGUAAAACUCUUUUCUGGGAGGAGAACCCGCAAGGGUGACAGUAUCCCAGGAAUAAGGAGAUCCUAAUUCUGUGCCAGCAGGAGCGGUAAGACAGAAUCUCCAAGCGUUGUCCGGAUUUAUUGGGCGUAAAGGGUCCGUAGGCGUCCCACCACAUCUUUCAUUAAAUCUUCAAGGCCCAACCUUGAAGCUGUGAAAGAGAUGGGUGGGAUAGAGGGCGUUAGAGGUUGGAGGAACGGUCGGUGUAGGAGUGAUAUCCGUUGAUAUCGACCGGAACACCAAAAGCGAAGGCAUCCAACUGGAGCGGCCCUGACGCUGAGGGACGAAAGUGUG